Long non-coding RNA from Acipenser ruthenus (sterlet), 2353 nucleotides. RefSeq lists it as uncharacterized. The transcript is spliced from 5 exons. The record is from RefSeq and is a predicted model, not a curated record. NCBI's taxonomy places the organism in Eukaryota, Metazoa, Chordata, Actinopteri, Acipenseriformes, Acipenseridae.
GCCCUGCUACAGGAAGUCAGUACCCAGGGAAGUCAAUAAAAGCUUCCCUCACCAACAUGGCUGGUUCCCCACUUCCUGUCAAGAUGGACCAUACCACCACACCCAACUCAGGACACUCCCAACCACAGGCUUCCAGUCCUGAUACACCAGGUUGCUGGUGCUCCAGGUCCAUAGAUCGAAUCCUCUUUGGUUCGUGUGUCUGCGGCAGUGUUUUAGUCCUCCUGAGAAAGGCAAGGUUCAAUGGUCAAAACCUCCGUGGUUUAUUUACUUUCGGUUCCUGUGUUACUCGCUCCCGCACCAAACUCUCCCCAACCUAACCAACAGACUCCACUACACAGUUCCCUUAUAUAUACCAAGCCCCACCCCGUUAAUCCACCACAGCCAGUCGCUAGUCGAUCAGCUAUUGCUGAAACCUCAGUCUUAAUUUAGCACGUGUAGCCGACCUCCCCAUGAUGGCCGUCUCAACCGGACUCUAUAUCUACUGUAUGCGCCAUCUUGUUGAGGUCACGUCAGUCUAGCGCCUCCGUCUGUCGGGAGGUCAGUUUUUCCGCACUCCUCCUCCACACUUUCACAAGCACUGCAUGCUAAAAUCAGCUUGUCAUAAUGCAGUUUACUGAGGGUGCUGCUUUGUGAAGCAAUGCUAAAAACACACAUACACAAUGACAUUCUGGACGUGCUAGAUGCCCAUUACUUCAUGAAAAAAUUAAUCAGCAUGACACCUUUGGAGCCUUCUGACUGACCUGUUUAACCUGUUUUUACAAGUAACUAUCCAAAUUGCAGUAUUUAAGUAGAUAACGACAUUAUAUGCUACAUUUCUAUUUGCUUGCUCUAAACAUUUUAUGGUAAACAUUGGAGCAAGAACUGUGGUUAAAGAUUUGUUUACUUAAAUAGAUAAAAAAAGGUGUUGAUGCUGGCUUCAUUUUGUUAACAUCAUUAAUAUAAUAGCAACUGAAUGCAUGGCUGCCAUCAUAUGCAGGGGUUACCUUUUUGUUCAAUGGCUUCCAGCACCACUAUAAAAAUUGCUCCAGCGCCUCUGCUGACACCUGACAAAGCAAAGUUCACCAAGCCAGGGGAUCAAUUCAUUUACACUAAGGUGUGCUAACAGUAUGUACCGUUAUACAACAAAAGGUUGUAUAAGAAAAAAGACCAAAAAAAAAAGACCGCUUAUUUACAGUCACCGCAAACCCCAUAUGUUUUAGAUUGAAAACAAAAAGAAACCCCACUAACAAAUACAUUUAGGUUUUUAUUCAUUCAGUUUAAAAAAUGUGUUUUUUGUUUUUUUUUGUUGGUUUUUUUAUUCUCCGAGGGCUUUGGAAUGCAUCUUUCCAGUAUCCGUGAUUAAACAAAGAGGAGCCACAUAACUGUUUGUCUCAGUGCUUGAGUGCAACUGGAGCCAGUACCAAAGGCUUUCAGCCAUUCUUUCAAGUCACGCAGAGAAGUUUCACGCAGGCCUGUGAUCACCACAAAUAGCAGGUGAAGAAGUGGAAAGAGCCUUUGCCAGGCUGAGCACAGGAAUUGUGAAGACUUGAACACAAGUAAUUAAUAACCAUGCAAGGCAAGCUUAGCUAACAGAAGGGCCUAAGAUGCAGGAUGUGCAGCUUUGCUGUUUGUGAUUACAAACCUCAACAUCUGGCUGUCUGCACAAAUAUGGGUAUUUUUUAGCCUUGGGCUAGGCUUUGUGCUCUAUGGAACAGUAAUCUUUUAAACUAAUAUCGCUUUGCAUGCACCAUUAUAGAUAAAUAUAAAGACAGGGAUAUAAAAAUCUUGAUACCCAGCCAUGGUUACCAAAAUAUUAGUUGGGCAACCAGGACUUCAUUUGUAAAAGUCUGGCUGGCUUCCUGACUCUGUUGUUUUUGGACUCCAGGGUAUUGUACAAAGGAAGGUAUUUAUAAAGUUUACUUGUGCCAAGGUAUGCAUGGAGUAAAACCUUGUGAAUUGAAAUAGGAAUGAUGUGCUUGUGACUUUAGAGAGGACAGGGUUUCUCCUUGCCUCGCAGAAAGCCGCCUUUGCAGAGGUGAGACCAAACCGAUCGGCCUCUAAGGCUGGGAAGCAACCAAUACUUCAGCCAAGGGUAACCUAGAGUGAGAGAGCUCCGAAAUUAUGGAAUGCUCUACCUUCAUUGUUAGGGAAGCUUGGACCGUUACAGUUUUCAAGUCAAGACUAAAAACGCACUUUUAUAAAAUAACUUUCUUCUUAGUGGGUUUUAAUGUAACUUUAAAAUUGCUGUUUUUGUAUUAUUAUGUGUAUACAGUUAUUUAAAUCUGUUAUUUAAAUGGUCUGAUUGUGGCAGUUGUAUGUGUGACAUGCUAUACAAAUGUAUUGUGGUUUGUUCUUUUUUUCUGCUAUGUACAGU